GAAAAACUCAAAUCUUAAUUGCAGAGGAGCCAUUUCUAGGGUUUACUCUUCAACUUCAUCGCAAGAAAUUGAAGCAACUUCCCUUCCUCUGCCUUCAAUGGUGGUCUUAAUGUUGAUAUGCUUAUGCUUCCAUUUGCAGAAUCUUGACCUUCAAUUCUAAUGACUUUUAUCACCCGUGAAUGGCUCGAUUUCACUCUUUCACUCUCUUCCAUUUCGCCAUUCUCGUAAC
This 229-nucleotide unclassified non-coding RNA is filed under the name Hevea brasiliensis (rubber tree). The record is from RNAcentral. Lineage: Eukaryota; Viridiplantae; Streptophyta; Magnoliopsida; Malpighiales; Euphorbiaceae.